This is a long non-coding RNA of Chenopodium quinoa (quinoa), 2875 nucleotides long. RefSeq lists it as uncharacterized. NCBI's taxonomy places the organism in Eukaryota, Viridiplantae, Streptophyta, Magnoliopsida, Caryophyllales, Amaranthaceae. The record is from RefSeq and is a predicted model, not a curated record. The transcript has 3 exons.
UUUAAUUUUAUGUAGGUUUUUUUUGUUGGAUUAUUGAUUUCAAUUUCAAUGGAAACCAACCACAACCGCGCGUAAUUUUGUCUCCUUAUAGUACACCUCCCUAUUUCUUCUCAAAGGCAAAAAAUUCUAGGUAUUUUUAAAAGUUUCAUCAAUGGUGUCCAUAACAAUGGGUGGAGCAGAGACGCCCCGCAUUUUUGUUAGUAUAAUUAAUCAAUUUGGGGUUCCUCCAUUGAGCGAACUUUUUUGUUUUUGCUUAAAUACGUUAUUUAAAUUGAUUGAUUGUUCAACCCACCCUUUAUUAAUCGACAAUAUACUUCUAAUUUUCUUAUCAAAAUUCCCUGAUUUCAUAUUCUAAAACUCUUUGAUUAUCUUUUGAUUAUGUUAUGUGGGUGUAUCGUCAUUGCCCCACUUAUUAAUUUGAUGACCCAAUUUCUUGAUCUGAUGAUCCAAUUUUUAUUUAUGUUGCUUUGUUAAGUGGGUUUUGAUUUUUGAGGUACCCAAUUUAUUUUUGGCUUGAAUUAUAGUUUAUUAUCAGAUUUUUUGGCUAUGAUAAAUUUGGAUCAGGGUAUGAUGAUGUAUUCAUACUCUUCCAUGCUUAAAGUUUUGAUAGUGUAAGAAGCUAGUCUAUUAACUGCAUUGAGGAGAAAGGAGUUGAUUGUGUGUGUAAAGGUUUGCAAUUUCUCAGCUGAAUAUAUAGCUGGUUUGAACAUCUCUUUGAAGCAGUUAAUUCAAGAGAGGAUGUGUUAAGGAGAUUGAUUUGACGUUGUGUAUUUGAAGUAUGUUGAAGUUAGGUUGGGUGAUUGAACAUUUGCUUAAACAUGGUUGAUACUCCACUUUGUCGUAAAAAAGAAGGCGAGAAGAAAUUGAUUGUUCUAUGAUCAUGAAUCAUGAUUAUCCUGUCAAUUGUUACUUUGCUAGCUAUAUUGUAGACCCCAGUAGACUUGUGAUCUAUUAAACAAUUCAUGUCUCAUUUUCAUCUAACAAGCUCAUAGAAAUUAGUUUUAUGUUUGCACGCCUUGUUCUAUCAAAUCUUGAUCACAAUUGUUCAUGCAUUGCAGCUUGGGUACCAAUGGAAAAUAUCCUUUAUUUAGGUGGACUAAAUAUUGCCUCUGAGAUCUACAACAAAGAAUAUAUGACCAAUUUUUGCUUAAUUAAAAUCUUAUUGAAUUAGACUCACAUUUCAUUUCUACAGGGUAGUGAUGAAUGACACUUAAUGCAAGAAAAUCCAUAUUAGUUAGUUACAUGAGUAGGCAAGACAGAGGCUGCAAAUAUAAUUGUGCAAUACCUUGUCUAUUAGGUUGGUUGAUUUUGUCCUCACAUACAGUGGAUUGUUGAGCAACAAGCUUUGGAGGUAAGAGUUCAAUGUAAUCAACUCUCACUGUUGAAUUCGUAAAAAGGAGUUUUAUGAGGAAAGCAGAAAAGAACAUUAGUUUAACUAAAACAAAGAUGACUCUAUACUUAAAUUACCUCAUACCCCCUCUCUAUAAAUACUAAAACAAAGAUGACUCAAUACUUAAAUUAUUUUAUACCCCCUCUAUAUAAAUAUAGAGAGCAUCACUUACUUGUUUGUUGUAUAUUUGUUAAUGACAGGUAAGUACUAGAAAUUGUGAAUUUUAUAGUCUCAUUGUAGUUCCAUGCUUGUCUUGGUGUGAGGGGUAUUUUACCUCGUACCUCCAAAUUGAUUGUAUAUUGGUUGCAUACAUAUCCCGAAUUACACUUGUUCUUUAUAUAGCCCUCAUAAUUCUUUCAAACCUAAAUUGUCUGAUAUUUUUCAGCCGUGUGAAUCAUGCAUUUCAUUCUAGAAUUUCCCAUUGUCUCUUUGCUUUUUUCUUUCGGUCAAGGGUUUGGAUGGCUAUGGACUGGUGGGAAUGUUUGAUACGGUGAGUAAAAGAAAUUGAUCAUAUUUUCUGAAAAUAGUUUCUUAAGUUAUUUCUUUCCAUUUUUGCAGUUUUGAUGCUUAUAUUUUCAAAAAAUAAUUUCCACUGUUGGCUUAUAUUAAUUCUUCAAAUUUGAUGCUGCAGUAAGGGGUUAAUGGGGGUAGGGAGAUAGGGAAACGAGAUCCUAGUAAUAAUAGCACUAGUACAAAACUAAUCUAAGUUUUAGGGAAUUGAUCUAUAUAUGAAAAGAUUGGAAUGGGUUACUGUUUUUCAAGGUGAGCGAUGUGACUAUGUGACAAUUGAUAAUUCUCUUCUCAAAUAUUGUGGUGUGAUUGCGUAAGACUUUAAUUUGUUGAUGCUUGUAGUGCAAUCAAUUUAGCUAAUGGUUUUGAUUUGACACAUCUUAAUUGUUGGUGUGAUUCUCAAUUGAUUUUUGUUAUGUUUUUUUAUACCGAAGUUGCAACUUGGAUUGGUGUGUAGAUCUAGAUUAUAUUGCCAUUGUGGUGGGUUACAAAUGUAUUGAUCGGAAACUAAUUUGUGUAUCUUGUUUUAUAUACGAAGUAAAUGAAUUGAAUUUGUAUGUAAAAAAGUUUGCCUUCCCUCUUCCCCUCUUCUUUCUAAUUACUUACUUUCUUGAUUGAUUAUUGCUUGUAGUUAAGGGCUGUUUGGCAUGACAUAGUUUGUCGAAAUUUCUCCAAUUUUUGUUGUUAAUGGAGAGGUUUUGAUUCCUAUUCUGAAACCAACUGGAUACACCAGUGCUGAUCCUUCUAAAAUAUUAAUUGAAGACAAAGAUACUCGUAAAUCUUCAAGCAAUUAGUAGAAGAUAGAGAGAUACUUGAUUCCAUUAGUUUUCUUUCCUUCGAGCAAUUUUUUUUUCUUUUAAUUUUAAAGUAAUAGUGUAAUGGAGUACUACUAAGAUUUGAUAUAUUUUGUUUUUUCUUGUAUUUGACUUCACCUUUAUCAAUUAAAGAUUAAAUUUACUUUAUUGAUAAUGAAUA